GUUGAUCCAGGAGAAGCUCAGAUGUUUUCAAGGUCGCUGACGAGUCUACUAUGGUCGGAGGUCUUGGGUGCUGAGGUUAUAGGUGAGAACCAUCCACUGUAGAGACUCGGAUGAAGACUUUCAGUUGGCGAAGUCCGAUAGGAGCCCAAUUGCUAGGGAAGUCCGUCUAAAAUUUGUCUGGCGUGGAAGCUCGUCUGAAGAUUAUCCGUCGAAGAAAUCUGGUUUCAUGAGGAACUUGACGGGA
RNAcentral lists this long non-coding RNA (244 nucleotides) under Elaeis guineensis (African oil palm). RNAcentral describes it as "long non-coding RNA (EGUI_LNC077928)". The record is from RNAcentral. Lineage: Eukaryota; Viridiplantae; Streptophyta; Magnoliopsida; Arecales; Arecaceae.